RNAcentral lists this ribosomal RNA (826 nucleotides) under Staphylococcus aureus. RNAcentral describes it as "bacterial SSU rRNA". It matches the Rfam family "Bacterial small subunit ribosomal RNA", at positions 1 to 809 of the family's 1533-position model. The record is from RNAcentral. Lineage: Bacteria; Bacillati; Bacillota; Bacilli; Caryophanales; Staphylococcaceae.
UUUAUGGAGAGUUUGAUCCUGGCUCAGGAUGAACGCUGGCGGCGUGCCUAAUACAUGCAAGUCGAGCGAACGGACGAGAAGCUUGCUUCUCUGAUGUUAGCGGCGGACGGGUGAGUAACACGUGGAUAACCUACCUAUAAGACUGGGAUAACUUCGGGAAACCGGAGCUAAUACCGGAUGAUAUUUUGAACCGCAUGGUUCAAAAGUGAAAGACGGUCUUGCUGUCACUUAUAGAUGGAUCCGCGCUGCAUUAGCUAGUUGGUAAGGUAACGGCUUACCAAGGCAACGAUGCAUAGCCGACCUGAGAGGGUGAUCGGCCACACUGGAACUGAGACACGGUCCAGACUCCUACGGGAGGCAGCAGUAGGGAAUCUUCCGCAAUGGGCGAAAGCCUGACGGAGCAACGCCGCGUGAGUGAUGAAGGUCUUCGGAUCGUAAAACUCUGUUAUUAGGGAAGAACAUAUGUGUAAGUAACUGUGCACAUCUUGACGGUACCUAAUCAGAAAGCCACGGCUAACUACGUGCCAGCAGCCGCGGUAAUACGUAGGUGGCAAGCGUUAUCCGGAAUUAUUGGGCGUAAAGCGCGCGUAGGCGGUUUUUUAAGUCUGAUGUGAAAGCCCACGGCUCAACCGUGGAGGGUCAUUGGAAACUGGAAAACUUGAGUGCAGAAGAGGAAAGUGGAAUUCCAUGUGUAGCGGUGAAAUGCGCAGAGAUAUGGAGGAACACCAGUGGCGAAGGCGACUUUCUGGUCUGUAACUGACGCUGAUGUGCGAAAGCGUGGGGAUCAAACAGGAUUAGAUACCCUGGUAGUCCACGCCGUAAACGA